Molecule: ribosomal RNA, 465 nt
Filed under: uncultured bacterium
Lineage: Bacteria
Description: partial 16S ribosomal RNA
Rfam family: Bacterial small subunit ribosomal RNA
Source: RNAcentral
GAUGAACGCUGGCGGCGUGCUUAACACAUGCAAGUCGUACGGUAAGGCCCUUUCCGGGCUCCACGAGUGGUAACCGCGGGCGUAACACGAACGUGACCUGCACCCAACUAUGGGAUAACGCUAGGAACCUGGAGCCAAUACUGGAUAUGUACUACUGCUGCAAGGUCAGGGUUGGAUAGUUCCGGCGGUUGUGGGUGGACUCGCGGCCUAUCAGCUUGUUGGUGGGGUAGUGGCCUACCAAGGCGGCGUCGGGUAGCCGCCCUGUGGAGCUGACCGGCCACACUGAGACUUACAUACGGCCCAGGCACCUACUGGUGGCAGCAGGGGGGAAGCUUGCACGAUGGGCGCCACCCUGGUGCAGCAACGCCGCGUGCCGGAUGACGGCCUUCGGGUUGUAAACCGCUUUUAGCAGGGACUAAGCUUUUUGUGACGGUACCUACAGAAGAAGCACCGGCUAACUACGUG